AUUGAACGCUGGCGGCAGGCCUAACACAUGCAAGUCGAACGGCAGCACAGAAGAGCUUGCUCUUUGGGUGGCGAGUGGCGGACGGGUGAGUAAUGUCUGGGAAACUGCCCGAUGGAGGGGGAUAACUACUGGAAACGGUAGCUAAUACCGCAUAACGUCGCAAGACCAAAGUGGGGGACCUUCGGGCCUCACACCAUCGGAUGUGCCCAGAUGGGAUUAGCUAGUAGGUGGGGUAAUGGCUCACCUAGGCGACGAUCCCUAGCUGGUCUGAGAGGAUGACCAGCCACACUGGAACGGCGACACGGUCCAGACGCCUACGGGAGGCAGCAGUGGGGAAUAUUGCACAAUGGGCGCAAGCCUGAUGCAGCCCUGCCGCGUGUAUGAAGAAGGCCUUCGGGUUGUAAAGUACUUUCAGCGGGGAGGAAGGCGGUGAGGUUAAUAACCUUGCCGAUUGACGUUACCCGCAGAAGAAGCACCGGCUAACUCCGUGCCAGCAGCCGCCGUAA
RNAcentral lists this ribosomal RNA (506 nucleotides) under uncultured bacterium. RNAcentral's name for it is "partial 16S ribosomal RNA". It matches the Rfam family "Bacterial small subunit ribosomal RNA", at positions 29 to 523 of the family's 1533-position model. The record is from RNAcentral.